GACUAAACCACAAUUAAAGAGUACACAUAGAGGGACCCAUGACUCCAGCUGCAUAUGUAGCAGAGGGUUGCCUUACCUAGCUUCAAGGGAGGGGAGACUCAUGGUCUUAUGAAGGUUUGUUGCCCUAGCAUAGGGGAAUGCUAGAGGGGUGAGGUGGGAGUGGGUGGGUAGGUUGGGGAACACUCAUAGAGGCAGGGGUGGGGUAGGAUAAGGUGGUUUGAAGAGGGAAGACUGGAUAGGAGGGACAACAUUUGAAAUGUAAAUAAAUAAAGUAACCAAUUAAUUAUAAGGGUAAGGCUAUUAGACAUUCUUAUAUCAUCUAAAGGCCACCAGGUGCUCUGGGUUAUGUAAAUCCAAAGAAAGCAGGUGCUCUAGUCAAGAAAACAGGAAAUCUUUGUUCAGGGAACAGUCUCAAAAAGAAUGGGGAUUUAUAGAGGUAGAGGAUAUAUGUUGAUAGAGGACACUUGAAAUCUUCCUCUGGCUACUACACAUGCCCCGGGUACAUGCACCAGCACUCAUGCUCUCACAGACAUAUUCACACACAUGUAAAGAAGUAAAUAAGUAGAUCCUUUAAAACUGAAACAGAGUUGAGUUAUAGGCUCUGUCAAAUCAUUUACUGAAAGUCUUCUAAGAAAAACACCAUUCUCACAUAUAUAUAAUAAAGCCUCGUUUCUCUACCCCAGGGUGGUCUCCAUUCAUUUUUGUAUUUCUUUUUUAGCACCUGGGUUCUAUGAUGUUCCUUUAGAAGUAUGUAGCUGCCGCUUGUGGAAGAUAGACCUGCAUAUUCUGAGCUCUAAGGGAAAAUUACUUAUGGA
Molecule: long non-coding RNA, 815 nt
Filed under: Mus pahari (shrew mouse)
Lineage: Eukaryota; Metazoa; Chordata; Mammalia; Rodentia; Muridae
Description: lncRNA (MGP_PahariEiJ_G0005724.1)
Source: RNAcentral